Molecule: long non-coding RNA, 36259 nt
Filed under: Volvox carteri
Lineage: Eukaryota; Viridiplantae; Chlorophyta; Chlorophyceae; Chlamydomonadales; Volvocaceae
Description: long non-coding RNA (VCAR_LNC001043)
Source: RNAcentral
UCCCCCCUCCGAUUGCCGUUACUUUCUCAUCCCCGGUCAUGCCGGGACAAUAUCCUCCUCGGCAUUUACAACCUCCAUCCAAGCCCCCUCGGACCCUAUUGAACCAUCCAUCACCACCAUCACCACCUCCACCUCCACCCUCACCCAGACCUCCCUCUCCACCCAGACCUCCUCGUUCAUCACCCACUCCUCCUCCAACACCGCCGUCUCCGCCGUCUCCACCAUCUCCCAGACCACCCCGUCCAUCCCCCAGGCCCCGGGUCGCCCCGGCCACCACCAGAUGGGCUUCCUCCACCAUCAACUAGUACAUCCUCACCCUCGCACUCCAACAGGCGUCCAUGGCCUUCCCCGUCGCCCCUCUGGCCGAUUUCCGUAUAUAUACAGCCGCCUCUCAACCCUCGACGUUCAUCACGCUUUCUACCCUUGCCUCUAAGACCGCCUCCAAGACUUUCUUUCCCUCCACCUACACCGCGCCCACCAAACACUGCCACCUUCUCCACCCUCUCCACCACGGCCCAGACCCCCUCAGCUACAGCCGAUGCCAAGCAGGUCUCCACCGAUGUCCGCAAGAGCAGCCUGGCCCUCAUCGCCACCUACACCUCCUCGACUGCUACCCUACUCACCUCGCCCAAUACCACCUCCCAGUAAUGCAAGAGCGCCUCUACCACCAUUAUUACCACCCAAGCCACCAUCGCCUCGAAUAGUAUAAAACCUCACUAUCAUCAACACCUGUCACACCACGCUGUAUGUUAUACUGUCUUCUCUUGUCAAGGCUGCUAUUGGUACACCACCAUCAGCGCCUGGUACCUGUGGCAUCUGGCAGUGCAUGCGAUCACCCAGAUCUAGAGGGCCCAGUCAUCACCCGACUACCCCCGGGGUCAGAGGAAUGCUGCCUUUUCCGUAAUUUCAAUGAUUUCUGGCAUUGACGGAUGUUGUGCUCAGCAGGUGCUGUGUUUGGUGGUAAUGUUGCGGACCUUAUUUUGGUGGUAGAUUUUAUUUUGGUGGUAGAUUUUAUUGGAUGCUGGUGGUGGGUGCGGAACCCAAACGAUUCACUGAGAAGUUGACUAGGGUGACUAGAUGAGGAUGCCCCGAAAUAUCGGGGAAGGCAGGGUUUCGCCGGGUAGAGGCCACGGGUGAAGAGAUGCUUGCCUGUCCAACACAUCAUACCAUACAUGCAUGCACAGGUUAUAUUAGCCGAGCUAGACAAGCCGUAAGUUGUGGGCCGGCGACCUGUGGAAUGAGAUACUUUGAAGCUCAAGUUCUUUCCAUCUGCUCCUCUCUAUGGCUGUGAGAUCGGGAGACCUGGUGCUUUAGAUGACGCGCUGGCACGAUCCAGUAUUAAGCACAGUGACCGUAGCAUAAGAUCUACACUACAGAGUCAAUACUUACAAUAUUGCAGCAUCUAAGGUGUGUGUGUGUGUGUGUGUGUGUGUCGUGUGUUGUGGGUGCGUUCCCCGUAAUUGCAAACCGCCCUAAUAGGAGCCGAGGGCUCAAGGGCUGCCAGAUCGCCUAGAAGCACCGACCUACCUCGCACGUCAGACAAAUCAAGUGAUAAUUGAGACUAACGACCAAAGGGAACGAUAGAGUUGCGGUGGGGCCACAUACGUUCCAGCAUCCUUGCCAAGCGUUCAGGUUCCCACUUCAUAGCGUCCUUCAUAUUCUCGACGCGUGGAAAAUCCAUAUCAGAUUAUUUUUUUCGUACACCGGACGGUCCAGCAAAACGUGCUUCUCAUCUUCAAUAUGGCUAUCAUUGCCGCAGCAGGGGCAUACUCGCUCCUCCCUAGGUAUACAACGCCGUCCCUUACACGCUCUGUUAGCCGAGACCUGUUAGUUCUCUGUUUUUGUCUUUUUUCCGCUUGUGUCCGCUCCGGGAUGUUGUGGGACCAGUUGCGGUCAUGGGCUUUCAGGGGGAGUUUACGGGGGUGUGGAUGCAUGCCCUGCUGAAGGUGGCAUCAGGCCCUCUAUGGAUUUGUUUGGCGAUGGCCCCACUGAUCUGAGGGGCGGCUCUGGCGGUGAUCGUGACAGCGACUCAAACGGCGGAGUGCUUGCAGGUGCACGUGCUAAGUAAGCAAGGCGGGCAGACACUUUGUCUAUCUGUCUGUCCGUGUUAUAAUGGCUACCCGUACUGCUACGGCCUUUAAUCCAGAUGCCGCUGCAGGCGUUUUGGUCUCAGUGGUUUUAAGAAAAAACGCACAUCCGCAAAGCUCGUUUGCAAGGGCUCCCGGUGUGUUUUCGAGGGAAGAAUGAGGGGAUAUGGGAUAUGUGGGAGGUGGAAUGGGAAUCCCUUUGUUCGCUGUAGGUUAGAGGAGGACGAGGACAAAUCUCCCCAAUCUCGCCAAUUCGUGAUUUGAAUGCCCCACUGUGUGUGGAGUCUCGAUUCGUUAUUUGACAAUCGGCUUGUGGGGGGCGCCUGGGGAGGGUGUGGCUUGUCGGUGGACCGGAAAGCAGGGUUGAGACCCAUGGGUCAGUGAGCCACUUGUGUAAGCGUUAUGAAUACAACCCAUAAGUCCGAGAGAUCUCAGGUCAGGUCACGGAGGGCAAGAUAGGCCAACAUUGGGGAUGCAUGGGUGAAGGAGCUUGCCCGGAGCCAUGACUAGGGAGCAAUGUGUAGAUGCGAUGUGUGGUGUAUGGAACAGGAGGGUAUAUCUUCACCCGUGGGAGCUACCCUGCGAAACCCUGCCUUCCCUGGUAUUUCGGGGCACCCUCAUCCAGUCACCCUAGUCAUCUUCUCAGUGAAUAGUUCAGGCUCCACACCCACCACCAGCAUCCCACGGAAUCUGCCGGAUCGCCAAUGGCCUGACUCCAUUCCUGCUCGGCACGCAGAAUGAUCUUAUCCCUGGUCACAUCAGUCCAUCAACUUGGGGUACUUCACCUUCCAUUCUUGGAAGGAGUUCCGAUACUGAGAGGUCUCGAUCCCGGGAUCUCUCGGGGGCAAUGGUCGUGCCUUACCAGUAGUGCCUAAUAGUAUACAUGUACUAGUUACAUAUCAAUCCGUGCCUGAUGCUGCCCAGGGGCACCUAACCGUAACCCAACAGGAAAGACCGCCGAGGCACUCUCCCCCUUGUCGGGGAAGAGGGGCAUGAGGGGCCACUAUUAUCUCCUUCCCGACCACGGGCGUGCACCCCCUUUUUGUCAAGAGGAAAGAGAGCGCGGUGGCUACCAAGGCCCUCAAACAGCCAACCUUUGCACACGCUGCGGCACAGUUCCGCCCAUGCAGCCUGCGCCUUGAGCAGGCUUGGUGUUGUAUUCCGCUUCUUAAAUCUGGGCCCAAACUGAUACAUUUUUCUGGUUCAUUUUUCCUUUCUCGCUUGGCGCGGUUGAUGGACAAGUUCGCUGGAACUAACUGAAUUCCAACUGCCUAUUUUGCCGCCUUUCUGUCAGAUCUUUAUGGCUCCGACCUCUGGGUCAGCCGGCGAGCGGGACGCUGUCAUGGAUGCCUACAAGUAAACGCCGCCUCAGGCGGAAGUCCAUACUUGCAGAAGUAUGGGCGGGGGUCGUAGCACAGGCUACGACUGGGACGCUCGGGCUAGCGGCCAGUGGAGCUCUUCAAAUAGCAAACCAUGUAAGCAUGGGAAUAAUAUUACACACUAACAAAGUUCAGCGCGACAGACAACUCAAACUUUCUCGCCAGCUCGCGCGAUAACCUCAAUAACAAUCGCUCCUAACAAAAGGAACAGCGUAAAAAAUAAUACAGCAAAGAAAACGGUACCUGAGUUCCACUCAGUUCCGCUCAGUUUCGGCCCCACACGAACUCACGGGAACUGAGCCGAACUGAGAUCCCUCGCACCCCAACGGUCACCCGUCUUCCAAACAUGCCGUCCUGCUCCCCCCAAUCAUCCCCGCUUCUUGCGACCCCUCUUAAGCUCGCUGAAAGCGUCGGGGCUAAGGUCUUCGGCAAGCUGCUUGGCAGGAAUCCAGUACAAUGUCUUGUCCCCUUAGAAUCUGACUUGGUACUCCUGCUUGCCUGCCUUGUUAAACCUGCUGCCUUCGAACCUGCUUACCUCCACGUGCUCCUCGCCGUCUAUCGCCUCCUUCUUGGCCUUCCUGCUUCGCUUCCCCUUCUUGGGCUUGGCUUUGGGAGCCUCCUUGCCCUCUGCUUCCUCUAUCUUUGCCUCAGCAUCCCCAUACCUCUUACCCACCCUCACCACCGUUUUGUGCUUUCCCUCCGCCUCCCGCUUCUUGCUGCCCUCUAAACUACCCUCCAUAUCUCUGGGAUCAAUCUUGCUUAGCUCAUUUAUAGCGCCAUGGCAGGGUGGAGCCGUCAGCAUCCACCAGCACAAACUCCCCUCAAACAUUUAGCAUCUUCGAAUCUACCCCUGUCAAUUCGCCGCCUAACGUAACCCCCUAUCCCUAUAUCCACCAGUGACUCUAGUUUAUCAUUUUGCUGGGUUAGCUCCUCGUACACCUCUCUCUCUCUCUGUGUCUAGGUCGCCGUAUACUUCGUUGGGGGUCAUGUUUUUGAGUGAGGAAUGGGGUGUAGAGUUGUAAUUCGCUCCUGGUCUAUAAAUCGUGUGGUGUUGUUGGCUAGCAUGUAAUAGCGUAUGUAUCGUUUGAUGGUCUUGGUUGCCACGUCCACUAUGCCUAGCUUGUUGCCCCUGGACAUAUGGUCGUCCUUAGCCACUUACGGAUCUCGACUGGUACGCUCUCCUUGGCCUUAUGCUCGAAUUCUCUCACCUUCUCCAGGCGUUAUUUUAGCACUUCUUCCUUCGUUUCUUUCUCUUUCUUGGAGAGCUCUCUUAAUAGCCGACGUUUCUCUAGCGCCUUCUCUUGUGCCUUCUGCAGCUGGGCAAUUUUCUCUGCUGUCAAUUGUUUUUUGGGCAUGGCAACGGUUUGGGCUUCAGGCUCAGACAUUUCAGUGGCUUCAGACAUUAUAGAUAUUUAUAGUAACGUCAGAAAAACUUAGUGGAAUUUCAGAGUUAUUGGCAUGGUUCUAAGGAUGGGCAUGCAUUUCUCUGCUUGCCACACCCCUUCCAGUGCUUGUAUUUAGUCUUAUCCAGACAAGGUUGUAAACCAUGAGAUGAAAAGCCCUCCGGGGGCGUCUGCAACCGCUCAUGUGCCCAUGCUGACAGCAGAUGGUUUCAAAAAGCACCCCCAAGCUCCGCCUCCCCACCAGGAAGCCCCCAAUUAAACUGAUGGGCAACCCAUUGCCUCAGGCAACAGCCUUGACAGUAACCACUGCACUUGGUCCCUAGCGCGUUGCUGCCUUAGCACAGCAGGCAUUCCUUUCCAGUACUCCACUGCCUGGCACCUCAUCAACACCAAUCGCUACAAGUUGGCCAGCGCCGAGGAGCCCGUGUUCCCAGCUGGCGUACACAUCCAACUGGCAGUCACGCAGACGGUGCGGCAUACCAGUGCAAACAAGCCGCCGUCAUGGCCUACCUGGCGAGCAAGAAUGGGGUCUAACGACCCCGGGCUGCUUGUGGCGGUCAUGUGCGGUAGCCUGAGACCCAGAAGGAGAAGGCGUUUGGUGGGAGAAGUGUUGGCUCUCUAAUUUGUCCUCCUGUUUGUAGGUACUCUGUGUGUGGGUGCGGGUUGCAGGUUGGAAUUCUGGCUUGUCUCGAUGGCUCCUAGCAUGCAUCGCAUAUCAGCCAUUUUGUUGUUGCCAUUUAUGAAUUUUGCCAUUUGCGCCAUUUUGCGCUACAAGGCCAUUUGUGCCACCACUGGACUGGUCGUGGGCCACUGCCACAUGUGACAUAAGACGGGGUUAGGGGCCCCUAAUGUAAGUCAUCACGAGGUGCUGACUGUCGUUACCCUGGCGGCCCGGUGAGGUGAAGAGGGGGUAACCAUGUGCAGUAGUCAGAGUUGAGCACGAUCGUUACCCGGAUGUAACGACGUCCCCGGGGUAACGAUUGUCAUUACAUGGUCAUGGAGAUCGUAACUAUCGUUUCCGUGCCAUAGGGAACCUGGUCCAACCCACGUGGUGUGGCACCGUACUAAGAGCACAGGACCCCCCAUCCAGCAACUGGCAGCCAGUUGACAUCGAGGCGAUGCAAAAAGAGAUGGGAGGGGUGGAAGGGUGCGCCAAGCAAGGGGUGCAAUGGCAAGUGUUAGGAUAGCCAUGGGGGUGCUACACUACGCAUUCUAACAUGGAAUGCUCCCAUCGCCUACGGCAAUCGCCUGGAAUUAAUUGCGCAAGGAGUUAUAUGUCCUGCUGAUUACGACAUUAUAAUUGCUACUGAAAAUAAAGUCCUUCCAUGCAACCUGUCCAGGCCUUUGGCGGCGUGUGGGAAAUGCCUCGCGGGUGGCAAGGGUCUCUUGCUGGGUUGAUGCUAUCUUGCACCGUCCACGUCUGAAGUGGAUGAAGACUUAAAACUGGCGGACACAACCUGGCCGACAGCAUUGCUGGACCGCUGGGUGACGCAAUCUAUGCAUUGCGGAGGGAUGGAGAGAGAUUCUGUUUCUGUGGGAGAUUUUACUGCACGUGUAGGUGCGGCUAAGGAGACUGAUUACGCAUAUCAAGCACCGUUCUCGCCUUUUGAUAAAGAGCAUUGCAUUACACCAGCCUCUGAGCUCAGGGCGCUGGACCAAACAAUUGAUAUUGUCGGCAAGAGGGUCCUGUGCAUGUGUUGUCAGCAUGACUUAAGCAUUUUCAAUGGGAGAGUGGAUGGGGACAUCCCAGCUGGCCACACGUUCACUGCUAGCAGGGGCAGCACGGUCGACCUAUUCACUGGGUCGCAAACCCUGCUUGUUACUAGCCCGCACCUGAGUGUGAUGCGCAACAAUGCAUGGGGUACAUGACAGUCCAAGUUCAGUGACCAUUGUCCGGUGACUUUGACAAUCCCCAUCCCCGCAGCAGGACAAGGCGCCUCUCAUAAAUUUGUUUGAUAAUGGCGGCAAGAAGCGUUUCCAAGCCCUGUUUGCUGACCCCGGGGGCCAGCACAUUGCGUUUUUGAAUGAUUUGUGCAUGGUCAACGGUGCCGCACCCGUUCCACUUAAACCAGUGCUUGUGCUUGCACAUAUGAAUGCCGGGUUGCUUGCCGUCCGAGGGGAAUGCAUGCGGUUUCGUUGACAGCCUCUCGUGCUCCCACGCCUUCAUGAGUCGCUCCCUGAAGGUGGAUUGGGUUGGUCCAUCGGGUAUGGGCGUGUACCAUGCACAAUCAUAGCAGAGCAUUUGUACCUGUGGCGCAACAAAGCUGUUGAUGCAUUUUACACUAUGCUGUUGGCCAGUUACUGUGAAUCGUGCUUGGGAACGGCCCCGAGAAGCAAGAACCUGCCCUCUGUGUACGGCCAACGAAGUAGAAGAUGAGCACCAUAUUUUGAUGCAAUGCACGGCCUACGCCGAGUUACGGGCGGGUAGCAGCAUAUAUUUUAGUAAGGCCAUGUGUGACGUGAUGCAGGAAUCAGAGCCUGACAGGCUGGCCGCGUUGUUAGACUCUAUUUGGGAGCACAGGAGCAGGCACACGCCCCUUGCAGGGGCGGAACAUUAGAGCGGACGAACCAUAUCAUAAGGCGUUAUGAUGGUCACCCCGGCCUGGGCCACAGGUAUGAGGCAGGAAGGCACAAAUCGUGCGCACCACCUUGUAACCACACGCAGUUGAUUGAUUUACCGGCAACCAUCACGCAUGGGGCUACCACGCAACACGGUGUUGAUGUGUGCAUCAGUACGAUGGAAAAAGUCUGCAAAGAUGCCACUAAGCAGGCUGCUGCUGUUACACAUGUUGGGGGUACACCCUGGUGGAAUGAGCAGUGUGCCGUUGUGCUGUUGGCCUACCUUACAGCAUGGUGCGGCGUGUCAGCAACUUAGUGUUGAGGAGAAAAGCCACCUGCGGACCCUUAAAUGCACGUUUGAGAAUGCUAAACAGGCUGCACGUGAGCAAGCGCCUCUGAAGGAAUUAGCCCAUGUUAUCAGCAUGAACGACACUGACCCGCGAGCCCUGUGGUCCUGGCUCAAGGGUCGUAGUGGCACUGAGGUUGGGAUCACUGAUAUUGACAAGUGGUCUGCGAAUUUUCAACGCAUCUUUGGAGCCCAACCCGGGGAGCAAUGGCCAAUGCGGUCUGAAGCACACACACUGCUAAAUUGCAUCUGUGAUUCUGUGGUUUUACUGAGGGACAGCAGGAUGCAUGGCGGCAAUCCCCCACAGUCGCCACCCCUCCACCUUAUGGCACCAGGUCUGACGGUGCUCUUCAACCAUAUGUUGUUGUAUGUUGCCAUGUAGCAUGUUGCAACGUCGCAUGUCACAACCCAGGGGGUGCCAAUAAACUUGCACACAGCCAUACAUGUGGGUCAAGCUGGGUGGAAAGCUAGGUGUGCCCUUCAGUGUCAGAUGGGGUGUCAAGCGAGGAUGUCCACCAGUGCUCGUAUCAUGUAGAUGCCCUUGGGCCCCCAGUGUCUAUCAAUGGGUAGACGCCCCCUUCUGGCUCUUCUGUGGACAAGGGGGUCAGCUUUGGAACAGCUGGGAAAAGGUCACCAACCACCUAUUUGUGGACAACGCAAUGCUGCUAGCUUGCUCACGGGACAGAGCACUGAUGUUGCUCACAUACCUGAAAGAGUUUUGCGAGGCUACAUACUGGCAUGCAAGUGAAUGCAGCUUAGUGCAAGGUACUGUACUUCAGUACAACCCCGGCACAGCGCAAAGAGUGGGCCACGUGUGGUUUCAUACUGGGUGGUGCACGGUUGAAGGUCCUAGGGAAUAAGGAAACAGCCCGCUACCUGGUUUGCACUACGGUGCUGGGCACAAAUUCACAGACUGCACUAAGGAGCUUGUGGUGAGCAUAGCUGAGGGCCACACGCUGAGGGUGAUGACGCAUUUGAUAUUGGGGGUGGUCGGGGGUGUCAUGACGAGUAAGCAUGUCGGUGCAUGUGUGUUUAGCCAGUCACGACCAAGUCCGUGGACCAUUGCGUGCAUGGACAAGAGACAAGCAAACAAGCAUUGCAUCAUAAUGCAUGGGUGAUUUGUGUGUGCUUGUGAAAGCCUGCAUUUGCAAAUAUUAGAGAGUGGCCGGGUGUUGUGCCACACACGCCAGAAAUAGAAAUAGUCAUACCCUGGUAGAGGCAAGUGGUAUGUGUUAAGGGAGUGGGGAGGGAUGAGGAAACGGGCCAGGCCUGUAGCCUGUACACCCCCAGUACCAGAAGGGGUGGGGCGAGGGGGUGGGCCAUGCCCGCCUCCCACACACUCUGGUUACACCCCACCGGGCCAGCCACCACCGGGGUUGCCUGGUGGCUGGCCCCACUCAAGGUGUCGUCGUGUGAGGACAAUGUUAUUGAGUGAGGAGACCGCGUGGUCGUGCAGGGCGUCGCAGCAUUGUCGUGCAGCAUGUGUGGUGGCUCCGAGGGAGGUGAGUAGGGGGUGGAAGUCUUUGCGGAUUGUGCCGGCAAAGCCCAGGCUAAUGGUGUUUUGGGCAGUGUACUGUACUUUCCAGCCCGCCUCUUCCAGGGCGGCCUUGAGGUGUGCAUGUUGUUCAGCUUUCUCAUGUUGUUUUGCGGUGUGGUUUGUGUCAGCAGAGUAGCCUACUUUGAUGGUGUGGUGCUGGCCGGGGAUGAUGUUGAAGUCGGGGGCAUGGGUGGCGGCUAGCAUGAUGGACAGGAUGAGUAGGAUAUCCGGGCAGUAGUUGAGGUGUCGGCCCGGGGGUUGGCCAUCUGUGUCGGGAGGAGCCACGCCGGGAGGCGAUUGUCAGCGACAUAGUCUGGGAGGUUCUCCUUGGAGGUGAUGUCCAUGACCAUGUAGCAGCCGCCCAUGUCUCCACACAAGAUGGGCCACACACACCAUGUGAGAUGGCCAUGUGAGAUGGUCACGUGGGUUGUCACUUUUUGGCUGGGCACGGUGUUCCAUGCCACAAUGCCAGUAUCAUGUAGAUGCCUGCAGGCCCCUGGUGCCUACGCUGCGUAGAUAGACACCCCCUCAGAAAAAACUUCCAUGGGGGGCAAGCCCCCCCAAACCCCCUGUAAUUUGGGGCCCAAAAGGUGAAAAAGUGUCUAUACAUCAUAGACACAUCCGAAGACACAUACCCCACGGAGACACGAUAGCUUCUACAUUUUUUGCCCAUCUGGGGGCGAAUUUUUUAAAUUCGAUCCCUCAUGUAACCAAUGCAAUCUCAAUUUCUACACGUAGAUGGAAGAUAAGAGCACUGCCAUGCCAGGCACUGGGAUUGGCACUGUCUCGUCCAGCCCCUUUGCAGGACAAGCACAUGUGAUGGGAAUGGGUUGUAAGCCUGCAUGGGGAGGAAUGGGGCCAUAUGGGUAGGACGAGCCUCCAGGGUUAUCUAAGGUGGAGGCCACACUAGGUUCGAGAGACCAGGCAAGACCUGUGUACUGAGACCAGGCCAUAAGACCACACUUCGGCUGUAAGCCCUGAGAUCUCCCCCCUCAACUCUGGUUUAUGGGCAAUAGCCCCAAGCCCUCUGAUAGGGUGUUCUGUAACACAUGCUUGACUUGUCCCAACUUGACCUGUCCCUCCGUGUCCCACUGCACCGAGCACGCUAACCUCCAAGCACCUGAGACCAUCAGCAGCAGUGUGAGGCCCCUUUCCCCUUACCCAUGCACAGGCUCCAGCCCUGCUCACCCCGAGCCCCUCUCCUCCCCUGUGCUCCCUGCAGGCUAGGAACCAUGUGGUUCAUGUCCCUGGUUGACACACUCAGGUGGAUCCCGUGCCCAGACUCUCCCAUUACAGCUCUCCAGCUGACGCUUCUGCAUCACGAUUCUACCUUCAGCUGAUGCUUUCACAUCUUGAUCCUACCUGCAGCUCAUAGGCUUCCGCAUCUCAAUUCAACCUGCAGCCCAUACACUUCCGCACCCUACUUUGUCAGCAGCACUCUCCCUUGACAGCCUUUCACACACUUCAACACAUAUCGAGGCCAGCAAGUGGUUGCCAUGCUUCACUAACCCAGCAUCUGGUCCUCACACCAACGUUGGGCAGGGAGCUUUCCCCGAUUCUUGGGCACCUUCAGGAAAAUAAUCUGUACAUGUGUAUGCCUUUUGCACCCUGAGGGUCGUGCGCAUUACAAGCUCCUUCCAGUAGGGAAUACACCCCAUGAUUCAUGGGACACUGUAACUGUAACUGUAAUACAUAUGCAAAAGUCUCAAUCACCCACAAAACAAGUAGGGCCCCAGCCCAUCUCAGUAAUGAUGCUGAGGCUGCCUACCCACCCGCGUGUUGGCCACAACUGCUUCCACUAGUUCCUCCAUCAGCACUCAGUGCUGCAUGCCUGACUUUGUCUAGCUUUGAAGAACGGCCCAACUGUAACCCACACGUGCGAUCAUGGCAUCCUUGGCCGUGCAGCAGCUGCAUGCCUGAUGGGCCCCUCCUCCAGAGGCAAACAGGAGGUGCAAAGAUCAAAAGCAUGCACCUUACACAUCUAUCAAAACCAUGCAACUUACACAACUAUCAAACCAUGCAUCUUACGCAUCUAUCAAAACCAUGCACCACAGCAUGCCCACGACAGGAGAACACCGCCAUGUGUGACUGCCAUAAUGACUGUGGCUUAAUUAGCACCAUCAGCUGUGCGAGCCAGCCCCGCCUGAUCAGCAGCAUAAGAAGAGCCUGCGGUUGAGCAAAAGCAGGCGUUGGCCGGUGCAGUGUGCAUUAGUCAGUGCAGCGACUUCAGGCAGGCACCUUUGGCAACAUGUGCACACUCCUAUGCAAGCCCGUCCUUGUCCCUAACAUACCACAGGAGGCCUCACCGUCAUGGUGCCUGCUGUGCAACUUGCAGCGCCUCGAUAUCCUGUUGCAGCUGCACGAUAGUCUGCACCUGCUGUGCGAUAGUCUGCAUCUGCUGCACGAUAGUCUGCGCCUGCUGCACAAUAGUCUGCACCUGCUGCACGAUAGUCUGCACCUGCUGCACGAUAGUCUGCGCCUGCUGCACGAUAGCCUGCACCUGCUGUGUGAUAGUCUGCACCUUCACUCACCCCUGCGUCUCUUGUAGGGCAUGCAGCAGCUGCUGACCAGCAGCUGAAUUCAGACAAGCAUUGCUAGUUGCAUCUGAGCCCGACACAGCAGACAUAGUUCAAGGUCAUCUUGGCAGCCGUGUAAUAUGUGUUGAUAUGCUGAUAUGUGUGAGACUACACCUCGUUCUCAGGCACUUGAGUGAGAACGAGGCACGUGACUUUAGUCUCACACAUAUCAACAUAUGACACAUAUUACACGGCUGCCAAGACGACCUCGAACUCUGUCUGCCAUGUCGGGCUCAGAUGCAACUAGCAACACUUCUCUGAAUUUGGCUGCUGGUCAGCAGCUGCUGCAUGCCCUACAAGAGGUGCAGGGGUGAGUGAACAGCCAGAUGCAGACUAUCAUGCAGCAGGUGCAGACUAUCGUGCAGCAGGCGCAGUCUAUCAUGCAGCAGGUGCAGACUAUCACGCAGCAGGCGCAGACUAUCGUGCAGCAGGCGCAGACUAUCAUGCAGCUGCAAGCCGCGGAGCAGCAGCAGGUGCAGACUAUCAGCAGUGUUCUCCUGUUGUGGGCGCACUGCAGUGCAUGGUUUUGAUAGAUGUGUAAGGUGCAUGGUUUGACAGAUGUGUAAGGUGCAUGGUUUUGAAAGAUGCAUAAGGUGAAUGGUUUUGAUAGAUGCAUAAGGUGAAUGGUUUUGAUCUUCACACCUCCUGUUUGCCUCUGGAGGAGGGGCCCGUCAGGCAUGCAGCUGCUGCACGAUAGCCUGUCCUUGUCCCUAACAUACCGCAGGAGGCCUCACCGUCAUGGUGCCUGCUGCGCAACUUGCAGCACGUCGAUAUCCCGUUGCAGCUGCAGGAUAGUCUGCACCUGCUGCUGCUCCGCAGCUUGCAGCUGCACGAUAGUCUGCACCUGCUGCGCGAUAGUCUGCGCCUGCUGCACGAUAGUCUGCGUCUGGCUGUUCACUCACCCCUGCGCCUCUUGUAGAGCAUGCAGCAGCUGCUGACCAGCGGCCAAAUUCAGAGAAGCGUUGCUAGUUGCAUCUGAGCCCGACACGGCAGAUAUAGUUCGAGGUUGUCUCGGCAGCCGAUGCCGCAGUGCUCGUCUAGCGCGCGUAAUACGUAAUGAUAUGCUGAUAUGUGUGAGACUAAAGUCACGCGCCUCGUUCUCGGGCACUUGAGCGAGCACAGAGCAGCGAUGUGACGCAACAUUACAGGCAGGGCUGUGGCUGCGGCGAAGACGAUGGCGGAGCGAUGCGUAUAGGCCGGAUCGUUUAGAUAGAUACCAACUGAUAGGGCAUGGGCUCCGUUUCUCGUUGGGAUGUCACAAAUGCUACAACGAGGGCGGAGCGACGUAAACCUGCUAAUCCAGCACAAGAUGUAAUAAUGAUGACAUAACAAUCUAAACAACACACGACUUAAAUAGUCAUCCAGAGCCUAGGCGGCGCCGGAAGGUCGUACAUUAUCCAUAUCCCAAAUGAUCGUCCACGAGUAAAGUUAACGACUUAACAACUAAACAACUAACGAGAAAACCUAACACGCAUCAUUGGACGCUAUGUUUAUAAUAAAGAUAUGCACAAACUUGCAAACGGGCACACCUUGCCAGGAGUGCCCGGGCGAGGGCCUUCAUGCGCUAGCGCCGGUGCGAUGGGGGCGCGACCCUAUCGUCUCAUCGUUGCUUAGCGAUCUCUCGUUGAUUAGCUUAUAACACAUUUAAAUUCGCAUAAAUUAUCACGAGCUCUUCUAGCAAUCAAAGCGGCUGUGUUCUUUGACAACUUGCACGCUUGCGUACCCAGAGACCGCUGUGCGACCUAACACCAAGUCCGUGCGAUGCAAUGCUUAAUUGAAGAUUUCCACUGGCUGCUAGCCCAAGCUUCGCCACCUGGAGACUUGGGAUGUUGCGUCCUCGGCGCCCACGCAAAUUGCUGCCGAAUUGAUUCAUACAUGUUGAGUAUGACUCAAAUAGUAUUCUUGAUGCAUUCGAUAAGGAGUCACUCGGGUCUUGCACGUUCGUCGAUUACAGCUUUCAGCAUUCGUGAAUGAAUCGAUUAAGGCUUGCAGCAUUCGGUGUUUAUCUACACCUUCACAAGUAAUCGGUGGAAACACGACUGAACUCAACGACUAAACUUCCCGCGCUAAUCGUCGGAGUGCAUGCGUGUCCAAUCGUCAAAUCAUCGAUUACACCAAUCGGAGCAGUUUUUACUCAGAAAGUAUCGAUUGAAUGAGGGAGGGGUGAGGGGGGAAUCGGGGGUGGGCCAGAAACGGUAAUCUUCUAUUUUUUGCCGCCGCCGCCGCAGAACAUGCAGCCGUACCCGCUACCACCACCUCUGCAAACGCAGCCGUACCAAACGCCGCCGCCGCAGCAGAACAUGCAGCUGUACCAAACGCCGUACGCGGGUUCCCUGCCGCAUCCGCCACCGAUACCACCGCAUCCGCCGAUGCAGCCUCCGCAGCUGCAGCAGGCGCAGCAGCAACAGCAGCAACAGCAGUUCAUACCACAUCCCAGCCAGCUGGUCCCAAGGCUGCCGUACCAGCCACCACUGCACCAACCCCAGCAUCACCAGCACCCAGCGCAAUACCAGUACCACCGCCAACCCAUGCAACACCAUAACCAUCAGCUGCAGCAGAACCCCCAGGACCUCGCCAGUAACUUGGGCACCGGCCGGGAUGGCACACCAUUAGCAUUGGCGGCGCUGCCUCCUCGUCCUCCUCCACCUCCACCGCCACCAGGCCUCCUAGCUGCUGGCCCCGGCGGCGGCGGCUGCGGCCGUGGCCGGCCCUGGCGGCUCCUCCUACCCCGUCGCCCCCAGCUGCUGCCCACUAUCGCCUCCACGCAAUCCCCUGUCUCCCCCGGUGGUGGGCGACACUGCGCAGCUCGAGCAGCUCACCCUGGAGUUCGGGGACCUGCUGGGCAAAGCUUGCGAGGUAGGUGUAUGGCUACCGCUACGGCUCUCUUGUGACGGCGGUGGCGGGGGCCGCUGUAGCUUUGGAGGUGGGGAAAGCACGGUGGGGAAUAGGCGAGGGUGCAAACGGUGAGCUGCAUCCAUCGCAUGCUGCUGGUGAUCCGCGGCUAUGUCAGAGGGUUGGUCCGGGGGGAAGUCCGGAGUACUGCCAAAACACACGGUAUGGUUUGCGGAGUGCGGAGUUCCCUGAGCGAGGUGCUUUUUCCAUGUCCGUUUUGUGCAGCUUUGAAGGCAGGGGAUGACGAGUCUCUGCAACACACAGCAGUCCUGCACUCCAACACACGACAAAGGGCCCUGCACACGAUGUUCCGAUCCAAUCUGGAACACAGCUGGUCCAUUCCAGAUGUCUUUAUACGAGGGGGAUGUUUCCGUUCGCCCGUCGGCCACGCAACCGCCUUAGUGUGUGUUACAUGGUUGGGGGUGCGUGACCCCAUACCCAUACCCAUACGAGCCGAAGGCCCAAGGGCAAUAUCUAUACGCCUAAAAGCCACGGAGAACAGGAAACACCGCACAUCAGGUCAGAUUUGCGUCCAAAUGGGACAACUGAGUUUCGGUGAGCCCACAUACGUUCCAACAUCCUCGCCAGACGUACUGGUUCCCAUUUCAUAGCCUCCAACAUGCUCUGUUCAUGAUCGAAUCCCUCUUCAGCAUGAAUAUCAUUACCAACCGCCUUUAGUGCCUUUUCCUGCUUUUUGCGGAAUUUAGUGUCCAUUUUCGGGACGCUAGGGACCGUGCCUCUUUGACUUUUCCUGUCCUUGCCAUGUUACACUUUCUUUCUGUGUUUGACCUUCAUGCUGAUAUGUACGGCACGUGACGAUCUGAACGGCGCCAUGCUGCAUCGGUCGGAUUCCUGAUGCACUGCCAGGCACUUGUGGAGAUGGAGGACAAGGACGGCAUUCGACCGCUGGAGUCGGGCAACGGCGCAUCGCUGCCGUCGCCGCCGCCGCCAACUGGGCACUGGGACCUCGCCGCCAAUGGUGGUGGCCACGAUGGCGGCGGCGAAGGAUCCCGUACGCAACUGCCGCCGUCGCCGUCGCCGAUGCGGUUACGCUUACCUCUACGGGUGGCUUACGAGGAACUUUGUGUCGCUGAUCCUUUGCUGCGGGUGAGUGGGUUGAGCUUGGAAGCAGAAGGAGAGGGAGGGGCAGGUAGGAAGUGGAGGAGUUAUUGCGCUAGGAAUUGCAAUUCAGCCAUGCAUGUCAUAUUCUGGUAGUAGUAGGAAUGGUGGCCAGGUAACAACGGCAACGUGUCGAAAAGCGUCCGGGGGAGGUAAAAGAUGCGUCAAGCAAUUAAGUUCAGGGACUGGUCAGCCUGGGGAUAUCACUACUCUGUGCGAGCAGCUAUAGCCUUAUCACCGUCGCCUUAAUAAGCAAAUAUUUAAAAGUAAAAACCCGUAAUCGUUCAGACUUGCUGGGUAUGCACAGACGAUCCGCCGGCUGCUGCAACACAUAUGCGCAUACAUUUUAAGAGGUUUUAGGGUUAACAAAACCUGCAACCGUGAAACCAUACCUUUUUACAUGCCCGUUUCUGCCGCUGCCGUUCCCCCUAAUAUACCCCCGUACGGCAGGCACGACUGCUUGGCGACCUGGCCGUACGCUGGUUGGAGGUGAGCAGCGUAGUGACGUCAUUCCUCUUCGCGAGGUUCCUCCUGCCGGACCUUUUGCACAUUCCAUGCCAGCCCCCGCAACUGUCCUUCUCGGCCGCCACGACCGGCUGAUCUGGCCAGGCCGGUUAUGGGAACUUGUUGGGCCGGUCGAGGCCCGGGUGGGGCCCCUGUCAAUGGCCCCGGGGUUCCAGGGCGUUUAUGUGAUGAUGUUGCGGGUCCCUGUUGCUUUCCCGGCAUGAGCCUUUUCCUUGGUGCGAGUGCGCGGUAGUCAGCGGGAUGAUUUCGUGAUCGCACCCCCCCAGCUGGUGGUGCCUGCGUUGUUGCUGGGGCGGGGGUCCGACUGCCUGACUCCGGAGGGUCCUCUUCCAGGGGAGUAGUGAGAAUCCAAGGUAUAUCAGGGAAAAAGGAAAAAGGAGAGGAAAGUGACGGCAAAGGGCCGCGUGUUGGCGAGGCCGCUUUUUUGUGGAGCCGCAGUAUUUUGGUUCUACGCCACACACACAGCUAUAUAACCCAUCGCGGUAAGAUGGACAUUAGCUAUCCAAACGAAGCUGUAAUGCAAUUCUAGGAUCUUGCAUGGUCUUUUAUACCUUUGGGGGGUUCCGGUGCGCAUGCUGUACACUUGUCAUCCCUGACAUGUGCGCUUGCGUCAUACCAUUUCUCCGUACUGCUGUACCGCCGUACAACGUGCAGAAGAACGCCUGGCGCAGCCCGCUGGAGGCGUUGCUUGGCAGGGGUGUACGGCAGCGGAGCAUGGACCGCAUAGGGCCUUUUGAGUGUCUGGACGAGCAGCAGCAGGUGGUGCUGGGGGGUUGUGGGCUUUGGGUUCGAGAGGGAAAUCCACCUUGCACGGCGUCCGCACCGGGGCUCCCUUUAUAUCCAUCCUAAUCCGUUUCUGCUACCAUUCGACUGCUCCUCCGUUUUCCAUUUCCCUUUCGCCACUCCGGCUGUUGCGCUGUCUGGCCAUGAUAGCAAUUACGCUUCAGCAAAUCGAUGCGCCCGCUCCCCAACUGCAUACAGGCCAAUUGGGACAGAAACCGUCGUACAUUGUACAGCCACGUUGUGGUUGUAGCGCGAGCCGCCAUGGAGACGACGGCUGCAGUAGCAGCAGCGGCGGCGCCGAUGGUGCCGAAGGUUGAGCACAACGACCAUAAGUACACGCGCGGCAGCGGCGGUAGUGAUGGUGCUGGUGCUGGUGAUGGUGAUGGCAGUAGCGGCACAGCGGCUGCCACAUCGAUUGCCACGUCUUUUGGCCGCGCCAGUGGGGAUGGUAACCCUGCUGUGCCUGCUCCGGAACCACGGCCGUCACUCUCGUCCAUACGGCGCUUCCUGCAAGUGACGGACUACCUGGCGGAGGGGCUGGCCGCGCACCUCCUGGGUCAGCCGCCGCCGCCGCCACUACCCGCCCCGAACCAAUCUAUCCAAGCAUUAACAACGCCUUCCCUGCAGCCGCCGCCGGCACCGCCGCCGGCACCGGCGCAGCAGCAUCAAGAGCUGCCUCCACCUCCGCCCCCGCUGCCACCGCCAUCGCCGCUUCCCUCGUCCCUGCCAGCUCCGCCCUCACCACCGCCCAUGACUCUGACGGCGUCGCCAACGCCCACCCUCGCCACUUCCCCGCUCCUGCCGGUAGCCGUGCGGCCGCCACCCGGGGCUGGCCCCGCGGCUGAUCCAUUGGCACCUCGCGGUGCUGAGGCGGUGCUGGCCGCCGCCAACUGUGCAGACGGCGAGGGCGGCCAUGGCUCCGGCGCGGUAAGUGCUGUAGUGGCCGUCGACUUCGCGAUGCAAACUUCGGACGGGCUGGCGGCUGAUGGCGAUGGCGUAAGCCGAAACGGUGGUGGAGGCGGCAGUGCAGCCACUGCCGAGGACGGCGGCGACGGUAGCGCUGGUGCUGGCGGCAACGGUGUCAUUGGUAGCGUUGGAGUUGGCGCUGGCGGCAGCGGUGGCAUCAUCAUCAGCAUUGGUGCUGACGCUGGCGGCAACGGCGGCAUCGUCAGCAGCAUUGGUGCUGACGCUGGCGGCAACGGCGGCAUCGUCAGCAGCAAUGGUGCUGACGCUGGCGGCAUCGUCAGCAGCACUAGUGCUGACGCUGGCGGCAACGGCGGCAUCGUCAGCAGCAAUGGUGCUGACGCUGGCGGCAACGGUGGCAUCGUCAGCAGCAUUGGUGCUGACACUGGCGGCAACGGUGGCAUCAUCAUCAGCAUUGGUGCUGACGCUGGCGGCAACGGCGGCAUCGUCAGCAGCAAUGGUGCUGAUGCUGGCGGCAACGGCGGCAUCGUCAGCAGCAUUGGUGCUGACGCUGGCGGCAACGGCGGCGGUGUCGACAGCACUAGUGCUGACGCUGGCGACAGCGGCAACCGUGACGGCAGUGACGGCGUGAAUGGUAGUGGUCUCCAAGCCAUGGAUGAACAUACAACACGCAAAGCCGCCACACGGCUGCUCCGUACCGCAGUGCAAGCCGCAGUACACCUUGCGUUACGGGUAGGCGCCUCGCCUAGCGGCCGGCUGGCACUGCGUGUCCCGACGCCAGGAGACCCGUUCGUACUCGAGCCACUGAAGUCGCCUCUGCCGCAGCCACUGCUGCUGCAGCCGUCAGCUCACUCCUCAGCUCAGUCCCAAGCGCCCUGCUCGAGUUUCAUCAAUCUCACCGCCAUGCGAGCGAACAGGUUGGCUGUAGCAGUGGAUUGGGUCCCCUCACAGGCGGGCUUAGCGCAGGUACCCGCCGGCCGCACCGCCACGGCUGGCGCCACCAACGGCGACGGCAAUCAACUCAACUUGGCCAUGCCCGGCGCCACCGCCGGCCAUGCUGCCGGUUGCCAGGCUCGCAGCCCGCCUGCCGCGGCCGCCAAUAUAAACGCUGCGGAUGGCCCCGCGGCCGUGCCGCUCAAACGGCCCCCACCACCGUCGUACGACGGCGACGUAAUCAGACAGGAUCAUGACGUGCCAUACGCGGGAGAGCUAAGCCGCGGCGUGUCCGGCAGAGGCGGCAAGAGGAGAGGCCGUCGCAGGAUCAGCACAGUGAGGAUAAGGCCCAGUUGGCGUCCUCGGUUGACGCCGCUAUGACUGGCAUGACUUACCAGGCGGACGUGGCGACGGCGGCGGCGGCAGCGGCUGCUGCGGUGCCACAGGGCCCGAUUCCGACGCCGCAGCUGUCGCCGCCGCCACAGCCGCCACCGGUGCCUCUUCGCUAUCACUAUCCUUCCCACCAUGUAAUUCAGCGGGCAUCUGACACCCGGGGCCUAAACAACUCCACUUCUUUCCCGGGCAGUGGCGACAGUGGCGGCGGCGGUGACGGCGGUCAGCGGCGCGAAGACGGUAACGGCGGCGGCAGCGGUGGAGGCUCAGGCAGCUUUCAAGUUGGCGACAUGGUUGGAUCCGUACUUUGGGUCAUAUCGCCGGCAAUCAUAAGACGCGACGCGCUGUGGAGCUGUGGAGGGAGCUGCAAGACGGUGGACCGAGUCGUGAGCUUCAUUCCGCCUUCGGACGACCGAACGGGGAGAGGCAGCACAUGGGAGAGCCUCCUGGACUUCACGGUUUGCGAGCAGGUUUCGGUUUGCGUGUUAUGCACAACUAUGUGAGCUACUCAAGUUCCUUGCCCCCGGAAGUUUCUGGUUGUGAGGUACGGUUGUGGCACACUGAUCAAUCGCUGCCGUGCUAAGCCAGGAGGGGCAUGGAUCUAAUUAAGCCUUACAGCAGAGGGAUAGGGCGCAUUUCGGGUGUCGCGGAGUACCUCCGGGGAGGACUGGAAGACAUGCGGGACACGGACACGGACACGGACACGGACACAGUGGGCAGGCACAUGCUUGCAGCAUGGAAGCAUGGCACCAAGGGAGGUGCCAGGGUGCAAGCGCGAGGGAGGGGAGGAGGAGGUGGAGGUGGGAUGUAGCUGCUGCCGUCAGCCCGCCCCAGCCAUAAACGUGACGGCUCCGGCCGGGUGUGCUGACGCGCAAGGGGGUUGCCCCUGUUGUGGUCCGUGGCUGUACGGCACAUCUUUGUGCGGUGGAUUGCGUGACUUUCUCCCCUUCGUUGCCUGACGCCUCUUGACGGUACGACCGAUGGUGCUGAUGUGCAAAAUAUGUAGGUGAGCUUCCUCGUGUGGGCAGGCGCCUACGUCCGUGAAUAUGCAGGAUGUGAAUACGUUUAGGAUCCAGGAGACCUAACUUGCCCACGGCCAGCUAGCACACAGGCCGGGUGAUAGUGAAUGGCUGCAGGGGGGCCCCUGCGCCUUUUUCUACCCAGUUUCGCCGGUGCUGUGGCUUUACUUAACUUGCUUCCCCCUACACGUAUCUGGAUGAAACCUGUGCGUCAAAGCAAUCUUUCUCUUCGUGUUUUGAUUUACUUUUGGAUCCAGAGGAGGGGACACAACACUCCCGAUGCUCAUUUAAAUUUGCAUACCCAUACUGUACGAUACCAUUCCGCUGUAACACAUGCCUCGGCCGCAGUACUUCGUGCCCUGGGCUAAGAAGCAUGUUUUGUGUGAUGUCCUUCCGGCUUUAGCUACGAUGUCCGGCGCGACAUAAGUAAGUUGAUUUGCUUCGCAAUGUGACCGGCGGCGUUGAGCGUUGAUCCGAUGCCCGGACAUUUCGUCGAGCACCGCGGUUAUAUGCAGCAAACGCCGUGUGCGCAUUCAACACAAAGAGUAUGUAAUAAACUCUCCAUCCAAACAUCCAUCACCAUGUAUGCCUUUAUUGUCCAUUUCGUAACAGUAAGAAGCGAGAUGCGGUGUCGGAGCCGGACGAAAGCCUGUGCUCUCACAGGCUUGAGCAUGUAAGCCUGAAGUUUAUAAGGUCACACAAACUGGUGUCCAUAGCUGGAAUUUCAAAUUGAUAACUCACGCUGUCGUCGCUGCUGUGCAUGGCUACUUACCGUGUUGGUACAUGUUAGAGGACAAAAGGUAACCAUGAUAUUAUGAACUGUAUAUCAACCUCUCAUCCAAAGUGGAUCAGCGCGAAAACCCUUACCGAUCUUUUCUCCCAGAAACUGGAGAUGUUGGAGUACUUCGGGGUUACAUGAAAACUACAUAUGUGUUGGUGUUGUGGCUUUGACCGCUCGAUCCACACUAGUCCAAAGGCUUGAAAGCUAUGACCCACGGGUCACUCUAUCGCUCAUUCAUGGCAUAUCAAUCUGCCGCUCAGAGGGGGCGUAAAACUUGAACUAGAAUUCUAUCAACAACCAUGCGACUGUUUAAACUGGCGGCGGUGGCGGCGGUGGCGGCGGUGGCGGCGGUGGCGGCACCACCGUUGGUGCAGGUGCCGGCUGCCGCAAGCGCAGCUUCGCAAGUUUUCAGGAUGCCGACGCGGUCUCGGUCGCGGAUACAGAGUUGGGAGCAGGCCCUGAUAUGGAUGUGGAUGAAGCCCAGGAGCAGCAGGGGCGAGUUGCGACAGAUGAUCAGCAGUGGGAGGAACGGAGGUACUCGGAGUCCUUGCCGCUGCUGCUGCCGCUGCCGCCGUCGACGGAGACGGAGACGACGACAACGGUGACAGCGACGACGGAGACAACGAUAAGCGUCGGACCACCGUCCGUUUCAGCGACGGUGGCGGCGGCAGCGGCGGCGGCAGUGGCGGUGCGGGCGCCGCUGCCGCCGGCACCGCCGCCAGCGCAGGGCCCCCUACAGGGCCGUCGGCGGCGGCCAAGGAGGGCGGUGAAGCGCAAGGGGCCAGCACCGUUGCAACCAAUGUCGCCAUCGCCGCCAUCACCGCCGCCGCAGCAGCAGCGGCAGCAGCCGGGACGGGAAUCAACCGCGGCUGCCGCCACUGUCGCCGCCGCCGCCGUCCCGAGGUGCUGCUGCAGUGUGUGCGGCGCCACAGAGACCUCGGAAUGGCGGCGCCAUAAGCUGUACGACAACCUCUUUACGUGUAAGGCAAGCAGCGGCAAGAAGAAUCCGUUGUCGCUUCAAAAUAGGGAUAUUGCCCUGCCGGCUGCUACUGCGAGGUAGCGGCGGCGGCGGCGGUGGCGGUGGCUACUGCGAGACCCCACGGCUGUGACGGCACACACUGCUAUGCCACUCGUAUACGUAUGUAGCUACUGCGCUUAGUCAUGGCGACGGUGCGGGUGUGCGCCGAGUGGAAUGGGCAACCGGAGGGGGCGAAUAACGGAAAACAGCGAUUAAUCUCUCUUGUCAGAGGGAAGCACGCCGGGAAUGAACGAAUGAGCGGUGUGCAAACGGUUACCUGCCCGCAGCUGUUGCCUUUCGCUAAAUCGCAGUUUAGCUACGCUAUACAGCAUAGGUUUACGAGUGGGCAAUUUGGAUCCGUACAAGUACCUGGAUUUUACAUUCCGUGCCGCUGGCGCUGCCGCUCGCCCUGUCGCCAUCUGGCCCCCCAAGCUGCCUCUUAAAAUAUAUUUUGCCUACAGGGUUGCUACAUGUGGUGGUUGGCCAAGCGCACGUACGAUGGUCGUACGGAAGCGCCCAGGGUACGCGGCGGGACAGCUCAAGCACGUGUCGUACGGCGCGGUACAGUGAAGGCCAGUGCACGGUGGCCGGCGGGGCCAGGUACGGACGCCAAGGCAUUGGGGGCAUCGAUAGCAGCCGCAGCGGCGGCGGCGGCGGCGGUGCCGCCGGCCGGGGGGAAGAGGUUUCAUGGGAGUGCCGUACGCAUCGUGGAUGCUGCUGCUGGCGCGGGUAUCACGGCACCCGCUCGGAAUUGCACUGUGAAACCUGCUACUACUGCUACUGCUAUUGCUGCUGCUGCUGCAGCUUCCACUGCUGUUACUGCUGCUACUGCUGCUACUGCUUCUGGCCGCGGCGGCUCAGCGGCCUGCACUGCCGCUGCGGGGAAGCCGCCGGUAUGGGCUAACAGUACGGCCCGCGACGGCAGCGGCGACGGCGGCGGCGGCAGUUCCGUCCGCUGUGUCGAGUGCGGGUCGGCCUCCACCAGUCACGGCUGGCGGGUUCAUAAGUUGGACCCCACACUGCGGACGUGCCGGAGGUGAGGGACACCACCAUUGAUGCAUCGAUUGGUUGGUUGACCGCCCCGGAAAUCCCUUUCCACUUGCUCUUAUUCCGGGAUGCGAUGUGUCUGUGUGGGAAGUAGGGGGAAGGAGGAAUAGCUUCAUCCUCGUAUGUAGCUUCAUCCCCACCACCACCGGGGAAGCACCGCCCGCCCUCAUCCCUCUCAUCAUCACCCACGUAUGAGUCCACGGACUCGGACUCGUGUUCGGAGUCGGUAAGUGUGACCUUUUCGGUCUCAGCACCCGCCACCACCAUUACCACCACUAUCACCACCAGCAGCACCGGCAUCCAGUGGGCUCCGCCCCCGGAUCAAUGGCGGCGCCAACUCCCCCACCUUCCUGGUCGGUCGGUUAGCAACAGGUCCAUCGGUAUGGCCGAGUGCAUCACAACCACCACCGGCAUGUGGGAGCCUCAUCCACCCGCUUACGGUCCGAAGAUUUUAAUUUGUUCUGUGUCGGAAUCGAUCCUAGAAUCUCACAGAGGGACACCGUGCCGCGCUUUAGCAUGGCUAUAUUGUAUGCAGUGUGUUUUUUUUCGUGGAGGCCGAUCCUGAAUCUGUUACGAGUUCCGUAAUAAAUAUGCCAUCAGUCCAAUACGUUUAUUACUGCCAGAAUUUUUUCUGGGGGGGGGGGAGCCCCCCAAGACCCCCCCAUUUCUGGGGGGGGGGGAGCCCCCCAAGACCCCCCCCUGCCCCCACAGGGUACCUGAUACACCAGCACAUAUUUAAUAAAUAUUUCAUUAGAGUCCCAGCUGUUUCCAUCCGUUGCCACAUGCGUUCAGGAUUAUGUCAUACGUUUUCACCACGACACCACAGCCAGUACAAUGCCCCAGGGCAUAGCAAACUCGUCAGUUGUGCAUGUAACGGCCACGCUUCUCAGCCCUCUGCAGCCACUUCUCCACCGCCUUGUCAUACGGGAAGGACGAGCGGGUGUAGAAGUCCUGGGCAAACAUACGCAAGCACAGGCCCAGAUGCUUAUCAAGCUGGUUGCGGUGCUUAUUCUUGACGAAAGACAUUGCUGAGAACCGCCUCCCAUCCUCCACUGACCCUGGCACCAUCACAAACACAAUCACCGCCAGCUUUGCAAACUCUGAAAUGGCCAUGGCCUGCCCAGCGGGGCUCAUCAGCCGUCGCCAGCAGGCUGUGGCGGACGGAACCUCUCCCUCUGCUUACGACGCCGCUUCUUCCCCUUCUUCCCUUUCUUCCCCUUCCCGCGCUUGCGGGAUGCCCUGCGCCUGCGAGAAGCGCCCCCCGCAUCGGAACCACCGUUGCCCCUGCCACCGCUGCUGCUGCUGCUCCUGCUGCUGCUGCUAUCACCAGAACGGGAGGCGCCCUGUCAUCUGGUUCUAAUGUCUCUCUUGUACUCGCUAUAUUGUUUGAAGUGUUACCAGCAUCGCCGCUACUGGGUUUUGGCCUGCCGGUGGUCAGGAAUGCUUUGACGCUACCCUGAUCAGCUAUAGUAGUUAAUUUCUUGGGCCCCAUCGCUCAUUUAUAACUUAUUUAUACUAAAAUAGAACGUCUCUGGGGGCCUUCGGCCCGCCCCGGCUCCGUAACGACCGUACCAGGCCUUUACCAUGGUCUAUGACGGAGCGCAAAACGCAAAUAUGCCAUUUUAUUACGGAACCGUAAUAUAUUACGGAAAAAAAUACACUGAUUGUAUGCAUUGCCAGCGAGUCCAUUGCAUUUCGAUCAUCUAGAUUAUCAUUUCCGGCAUAUUAUCACGGAUAUAUAUACACGCAAAGAUCAGUACACGACACUUGCUAGGUGUGUCGAUCUUACCACCGCAGGUGCUACGACCGCUUCGUCUGCUGCAAGACGUACGACCGCCGGAAGUCGCCGAGCCGUCACACGGCGGCGGCGGCGGCGGCAGGGGCGCCGCCGAAAGGGAAGUGCUCAGCAGCUCUGGCGUCGCAACCCGCGUCUUCCCCCGAAGCCUCGAGAUGCCGUACGGCAUCAUCAGACGGCCUUGCGGGCGGCAUCAUCAGCACCGCCGCCACCGCCAUUCACUCGCGAGGGACAAUGCGGCCACCGCCACAGCCGCCGCCAGCACUAGCAGCAGCAGCAGGGGCUACUGCCGCAGGUCCUAGCGGGAGCGGUGAAGGCGUUGGAGCCGCAGCCGGAGCCUCACCUGGCGGCAGGGGUGGUGACGGCGGCGGUCCACAUCCCAGCAUCACCACCGCUGCCGAGGGGCCCCGUCAGCGGCAACAGAGACCGAACCGAACCGACCGCAGCGACGUCGAAGCUGACGUGGGCGCCAUCAGGCGGCCUGAAAACGUGCGGUCAGCGGCUGCAGUACGAGCUGCAGUCCCACUCGUCACCGUAAAUGUACGACAGGUCGCGGCAGCAAGAGAAAACGCAAGCGCAGCAGCGACAGCGGCGGUGGCGCCAGCUGCGGCGAUCAUGACGCCCAAGCUGUCCGCGGCGACCCCGCCGGACCGAUUCGUCACAGCCACUGCUGGGGAGGCCGGAGCCGUACCACCGCCAUAUCCGUCGCCGCCGUUUUGCCGCCAGCCGCCAGCCGCCAGCCGCCGCCCCCCUGCGCCGCCGUCGCGGCCUCCUCGCCCGCCGCGGUCGCUGUGGCCGCCGCGGCUUCGGCGUGUAAAUCCCUACCCCCCGUCUCCAUGCGACGAAGCUGCCGAUGCAGGGUUGCUGGCGGCGAUGGCGGCCUGUACGGCAGGCGGUGGCGUGGCGGCGGCGCUCCGUGCGGACGACCCGUGGGACCUGGGGUCCUCCGUCACCGAGCUUGGCAAUCAAGUUGCCCGAGUGGCGCAGGUAGGGAGCGAACAUAAGGCCCAGGAAGACCGGAGCACAAGGUGGUGCUGGGGGAGAAAUCACGUGUACGCGGCAUCUGUGCGCGUAAACUGUAUUUUGUGCCGCCCACGAUGCCGUACAACCGCUACCUAGUGUGCGCCAUUAUCACCUUCCUCCCCUGGUAGAACCCACACAUACAUACACACAUACCCACACAUACAUGACAACGAACGAUUGGGGACGCAGGCGCUGGUGCAGCUCGAGGACAGACACGGCGUGGCGCUGCUCGGAACAAUCGGUGCAGCUCCCGCCCGCUCCCCUCCUCGUACCCCCCAUCCACCUUGCCGUACGCUGGUCCCUGGCUCGUGGAGCCCCGUCAUCGAUUGGAAGCAUGGAUCAACGGUACGCCAUUCCGGGACUGGACCGCGCCUUUUCGGAACUGGCUGUACGAUUCAUGGGAUGGCCACAUCCUCCGCUAUUUAAGCAGACAAAACUCUUCCAAUCAGUGUCUUCCGAUGCCACCAUCCAGUUGUGGUUUAGUUUAGUAAGAUAUAACAAGUCUGGUAUCGAGACGGUUCCUCCCGGGGCCUCUCUCAUUCCUGGAAUUUUCAAGAUCCUACGUUUUGCCAUCAAGAUCCCCAUUUCUACCGGCGCGUGGAUGGAGGUCGACGACGUCACUGGACCUCUGGCUACAAUAGUCGACGCUCUCGGAGAGGCCGUCCGCGAAGUGGCAGCCGCCGGUCUGUAAACUACUUUAGCAAAUCCGUUUGCUGACUUUUUCUAGGAUUUUGGGUUACUAGCAGUAAAGCUGCUGCAGGUUCGAACCGCCGGUUCCUUGAGCGGUCCCUACCCUUUGCCGGAGGCUCUGUCAAGAGCUUCGUAGCACCCGUUCGGUGCUAGAACAGACUUUCAGAAAAAUCGACAGUUCUCUUUACUUGGGUACGCGGUCUGCCUGAUCUGGGUCAGGAUAGUUGGAAAUGGAGCAGUCUAGGCGAAGACGUUGGGGAUUGCCCUCCGCUAUCGAUAUGACCAAUGGAACUGUCCCGCCGCCGCCUAUUGCCCUGAAUAACAAUAACCAAUUGAAAAAUAUGAAUAAUCCGUCAACCGCUGUUCCGAUUCCUGCAGUGGAACACAUCGCGGGUACCGCCGGCGAUGUAAGGAACAACGACGCUACCGAGCGCGGCUUGCCCGCUGGGGUUAGUGAUGAGGUGAUUAGAAUUAAUAUUCCGGUACCUAGGCUUAGUAUCCCUGCAGAUAUUAAGCUUUGACUUAUCGCGGGAAGUUGCGCCACGUGUCCGCGCCUUCGUCCGCGAUGUCCGGAAAUAUUUGGAAAACGUGGCACGAUGACUGGACUAAUGCGCGAUUGCAAUAUACUUCAGAGCAACUUUUGGAGGCGCUAUUAAUUCGUCUUGCCCUGCAGAUUCAAACGCGCGAACUAGAAGCGCUAGAAAAACUUGCGGCAGGGCAGCAUCAGAUGCGAGCAAACGAAACGGUAGCCGCGUACCAUAGUCGUUUCAAGGCACUUAUAGCACCAAUUCCUGACUUGAAGGGAGGUUGACCGGAUUUUCUGGUUUAUCCGCGGCCUUUCCGCUGAGUUUUCAGGAGAAUGUGCGACCGACCGUGACGGUAAGCCUUUUCAGGAAUAUGCAAAACUUGUGCAGCACACACUUGGUGUUGAGGCCCGUCAACUUGCUAAACUCCGUUCUCAAACCCAAACCCGCAUGCUUCUGCAUGCUUCCACCGCUGUGCAGGAUCCUGCACCCAUCAUCACUGACGACGGGGACCUCCCGGCACCGGAGGUCAGCGCUGGGCAGAAUACAGCUCACCAGGCCUCCGGUGCUGGUGAGUCGAACCGUGGGUGCAGGGGUCCGGGUGGCAAGCAUAGGGACAAGGGUCGGCCCAGGGCUGCUGCCGUGGGAACAGGGAUGACGGUGCUAGGCAAGCAUGGCCGGGAUUCGAAUCUGGCAGAGUGGAUGACUAAGUUUUACUGCACUCGGGUGGAGUACGAUUACCGCCAGAAAGAUAGCCGUUGCCUCAGCUGUGGGGAGGACAAGCACCUAGUAGCGGAGUGCCCGUUGCUUGCAGAGAAGAAAGCUAGAAACGGGGACAAAUAGGGGGUUGCCCAGGACAGUGUCAGGGAAGCACUCCCUGGGUCACAAAACCGAACGGAGCCCGUAAUCUGCCCGGCUGGACGUGCUGUCCAUGCUGUUUUACCGGCCGUAUUGAACCAAGUUUAGAAGGCCGUUGGACGGCGUUUUUCGUUAGAUGCCGUGGAAUAGCAAACAGAUUACAGUGCUCAUCAAAACCAGGACGAGCAGUACGAGCAUCAAAUGAAAAACACUGUCAACGGCCUUCUCAACUUGGUUCAAUACGGCCUUCUCAACUAGGUUCAAUACAGUAUGUCCAGCCGGGCAGAUUACGGGCACCGUUCGGUUUUGUGACCCAGGGAGUGCUUCCCUGACACUGUCCUGGGCAACCCCCUAUUUGUCCCCGUUCCUAGCUUUCUUCUCUGCAAGCAACGGGCACUCUGCUACUAGGUGCUUGUCCUCCCCACAGCGGAGGCAACGGCUAUUUUUCUGGCGGUAAUCGUACUCCGCCCGAGUGCAGUAAAACUUAGUCAUCCACUCUGCCAGAUUCGAAUCCCGGCCACGCUUGCCUAGCACCGUCAUCCCUGUUCCCACGGCAGCGGCCCUGGGCCGACCCUUGUCCCUAUGCUUGCCACCCCGACCCCUGCACCCACGGUUCGACUCACCAGCACCGGAGGCCUGGCGAGCUGUAUUCUGUCCAGCGGCAGCAGUAGCAGCUCGAGGCCUGACCUCCGGUGCCGGGAGGUCCCCGUCGUCAGUGAUGAUGGGCGCGGGAUCCUGCACAGCGGUGGAAGCACGCAGAAGCAUGCGGGUUUGGGCUUGAGAACGGAGUUUAGUAAGUUGACGGGCCUCAACACCAAGCGUGUGCUGCACAAGUUUUGUAUAUUCCUGAAAAGGUUUACCGUCAUGGUCGGUCGCACAUUCUCCUGAAAACUCAGCAGAAAGGCCGUGGAUAAACCAGAAAAUCCGGUCAACCUCCCUUAAGUCAGGAAUUGGUGCUAUAAGUGCCUCGAAACGACUAUGGUACGCGGCUACCGUUUCAUCGAGGAAGUCCAUACUUGCAGACGAGCACUGUAAUCUGUUUGCUAUUCCACGGCGUCUAAACUCUAGUAACUUGGGUGGGCAUACCGGUUGGAUUUCCCCCUCCUCUUUCAAAGAACUUCAGUCUCAGCUUGCGCAUUAUCGUAUUUGCAAACGUCAACGACCGGACACUGCGGCCUGUCUCCUGUUACCAGCACAUGUAUCCCUGAGGGCUGCCUCCUUGCUGAUAGGGAUGUGUCGGGUUCUUCAGUUUCGUGCUGGUAGCAAGCUCUUCAACGGUGUAGACAUGACGGGUCAACUUGUUUCCCUUCCAGGUCUGCCGUAUACUGCUGACGUUUGGUACGAUCCCCCUCUUGUCCUGGGGCACCUUGACACGGAGCCCUAUGUUUCAGUCCUGUGUGCAAAAGUUGCUGCGUCAACAGGGCCCAGAGUCCCGUUAAUUGGCAUUCGUGUCGCUGGAUAUUCUUUAACUGCCAUGGCCGACUCUGGUGCCAGCGACGACUUCAUUUCUGCGUCCAUAGUUGAGCAACUCGGACUGAAACCUCAACCGGCAUCGUGGUCAUCUGUCACCCUUGCUGACGGGGGUAAGCAGGUCAUUUUGGGUCAAGUUUCCCUUCGUAUAUCCUUGGGCCCUUUGCGCUUAAAUGUCUGUCCAUAUAUGCUGCCUAAGUUUACUGAUGCAGCCAUGUUUAUCUUAGGGUCCGCUACCCUUGAUCAGUAUGGGGCUCAUCUGAUUAUGAGACCCAAACCUUGCAGUUGCGGAAGGGAACCUUGUGUUAUAAGGCGCCUUUCACCACUGCGGAACGGAUGGGAGAAGGGAAUACUAGUGCUGCACACUCCGAACCCUGUGUGAAUUUUGCUGCUGCCGCUAUCUGUAAGCGAAUUGAGCCUAAACCCGUUGGGCGCAAAGCAGCUAUCCGUAUGAUUCGCAAGGGGGCGCAUGGAUUGCUAGUACGGCGAUCACUGAAAAUGACCCUGCGGUUGAAGCCCUUCUUAACGAAUACUCAGAUAUCUUCCGUGAGGUCCCUGGACUUCCCCCGAUGAGACCGGUAGAUCAUACCAUACCUUUGGCUCCUGGUGUGCAGCCUGUUUCGCGCCCCAUGUAUCGCCUCAGCCCCCUGGAGCUGGAUGAGGUGACACACCAGGUAGCCGACCUACUGAGGAAAGGUAUGAUUCGACCCAGCACAUCCCCGUACUCUGCUCCCAUUUUAUUUGUGGGUAAAAAGGACGGGACUCUGCGUAUGUGCAUAGACUAUAGGGGUCUAAAUGUGACCACCGUUAAAAAUCGCUAUCCUAUCCCAGGGGUCGAUGAUCUACUGGAUAGACUGCGUGGCUCGGCUUUCUUUAGCUCUAUUGACCUACAGCAGGGGUACAAUCAAAUCCGUAUUGCUGAAUCAGAUAUUCCGAAAACUGCAUUUCGUACACCCUCUGGUCAUUACGAGUAUACUGUGCUGAGCUUCGGCUUGACGAAAGCUCCUGCCAUGUUCCAAGCCCUGAUGGACCAAACCUUUCGGCCCUACAUAGAUCGUUUUGUCGUUUGCUACCUAGACGAUAUCCUGGUCUAUUCAAGGACACGUGAAGAGCACCUGGAGCAUUUGCGGCUGGUCUUUGAAAUUUUGAUGUUUGACCCCGAACACGGUCACACCCGGCGAAGUGUGAGGCGUCCUUCCAGGUAAAAUCCUCGGAUGUCACUGGAUGUCUUGCUAAGUGAAGGUGCUUGUUAGGAGUAUCAAGCAGCAUGCACAUAUGUGUACGACCACCCCCGGCCGGUAAUAUGUCGGCUGACCUCAGGACUGAUUGCCUGAUGUUUUCACAACGAGAACUAUUAUAUAACAAUGGAUGACAACCAAAAGCAUCCAUUUAGUGAAGACCUGUCGUCGACUUGCGUGUGUGCUGCCAGCAUUCGCGCCUUCUCCUGUACUCAUCUACAAGCUCUCGUUUUACCGCAGCCAAACAGGCCAAGAGAUAGGUAUUUAUUGCUUAUUCCUUGCGUGUGUGAUGCCAGCAUUAGAGACCUUAAGGUUGAAAUAGCGAACGAUGCUUUCCAAGAUUCCACGAUACUGUAGGUUGCUAACGUUUACAUUUUUAAAAAGCAUCCUUAAGCGGAAUUUAUGAUGUGGGAAGCAUAUAAGACGAGCAGCCUAUAGGCCCAUACGUAUGUCCAUAGUCCAGGGCAACGGAGGCAGACGGAGGGGUUUACCCUGGGGCCGCGUUACCCCUCCUGCUGGGUAGGAAUUUACAAGGGGAUUACCAAAGGGCUACCGGGGGUUGAAGGUGGGUAACCCAUGGGUUACUGACCCAAUCAGUGCCUUAGGGCCGCCCGCCGCCCGCCUGCAGUUCGUCCGUAUUCAGGGUCGCGCGAGCUCAAUUCUGCAUAGUAAAUCGUAAGAAAGUUUUAAAUAUCAUAAAAAAAUAAUUAAAAUGUUAUAACGUCAAUGCUUUCCUCAGUUUGUUUCGGUGAACUUAUUACCGCAUGAGACCUCAGGUGGUUAGCUCGCGACAUCUAUAGAAAUCUCUAUAACUAGCAAUAUCUAUUUAUCUUACUUAACAGUUCAGGAUAAUAGCCCGUUAGCAAGAAUUGCGCCACUCUCCAGCAGACGUUCCGACCAGGUUUAAAAAACGCUCAUGUGUUCUUGUGUACUUUUAUAUCAGAUUCUUAUAUCACGAUAAGCAAAGCAAACAAGCCAUAAAAUAUGCCGUACGAUGGCAGUAGGCAUAACUGAGCGAGCUACCAUGGAAGCUUGCGACAGUUGGCCAACAAUUGGUGGGGUGGAACGCCAGGUAACUUGCCCUAACUAGGGGACGCUAGCUGGCUGAUGGAAGACGGCUCAUAAUGGGGUUGGUGCGCCAAGCCUGCGAAGGGCAUCUUUACGAAUACGUGCAAGCGUGGAUCAAUCUAACAACUGCCGCCAAAAAUGCUUCGGCUGGCGACAAACAACUUAGGGAAGGGGAUCAUUCUUUUUUACAACAUCAGACUCGUCCACAUAGCGGCGCUUGCCCGAUGUACCGACGCAAGGCCCAUCUCAGCAACCUUUGCUGUGUUACACUCGGAUACGGUAAAAUAAUAAGGUUUUUUAUGCGGGUAUGGAGAACAUGACCAUGUUUCAUACGUAUAUUUAGAUAGAAAAUAUAUAGAUUUAUGAGAUGAAUCACGCUUUAUAAAUCGGCAAUGUCAUCUCGGAUGGAGCGCCCUCCUUGGCAGCCGCCCGAGGCUCUCAUGACCUCGUCAAUGCUACUCAUGUAAGCGGAUGCAUCCUUGCGCAAUUAUGCAUACAAAAAAAAUCCGCAUCCAGAUACAAGUAGUAUACGUGCACGGCUCUAAAGGAGCUCCCUUAGAGCCGUCCCUCUCAAGAGGCUUGGGGUUGCUCCAAAGGCCGCAUACAUCACGGUGGCUUACAUCCAAAACAUAUGUAGUAGUGACUAUUAUAAUAAUAAAUUGCGUAUUGCUCCAAGCUGAACUACAGAUAGGCUGCUGCUAAGGAUGGUUACCACAAAAUAGCACCCUGCUGACGACGCCGACAUACCUUUCACUAAUUUGCUGUGUGUGCUUGUGUGCCAUGGACAUGACUUAUUUCUUACUUCGCACAGAGUCUUAAUGGGGGCCAUGUCCGUGAGCGCAGUCGACAUGUCAGNNNNNNNNNNNNNNNNNNNNNNNNNNNNNNNNNNNNNNNNNNNNNNNNNNNNNNNNNNNNNNNNNNNNNNNNNNNNNNNNNNNNNNNNNNNNNNNNNNNNNNNNNNNNNNNNNNNNNNNNNNNNNNNNNNNNNNNNNNNNNNNNNNNNNNNNNNNNNNNNNNNNNNNNNNNNNNNNNNNNNNNNNNNNNNNNNNNNNNNNNNNNNNNNNNNNNNNNNNNNNNNNNNNNNNNNNNNNNNNNNNNNNNNNNNNNNNNNNNNNNNNNNNNNNNNNNNNNNNNNNNNNNNNNNNNNNNNNNNNNNNNNNNNNNNNNNNNNNNNNNNNNNNNNNNNNNNNNNNNNNNNNNNNNNNNNNNNNNNNNNNNNNNNNNNNNNNNNNNNNNNNNNNNNNNNNNNNNNNNNNNNNNNNNNNNNNNNNNNNNNNNNNNNNNNNNNNNNNNNNNNNNNNNNNNNNNNNNNNNNNNNNNNNNNNNNNNNNNNNNNNNNNNNNNNNNNNNNNNNNNNNNNNNNNNNNNNNNNNNNNNNNNNNNNNNNNNNNNNNNNNNNNNNNNNNNNNNNNNNNNNNNNNNNNNNNNNNNNNNNNNNNNNNNNNNNNNNNNNNNNNNNNNNNNNNNNNNNNNNNNNNNNNNNNNNNNNNNNNNNNNNNNNNNNNNNNNNNNNNNNNNNNNGUACGCGACAGUUAGCCAUAUUAAAGCUAAAUGGACCCGCCCGCCGCCCGCCACAGUUCGUCCGCAUUCAGGGUCGCGCGAUUUCUGCAUAGUAAAUCGUAAGAAAAUUUUAAAUAUCAUAAAAAAUAAUAAAAAUGCGAUAACGUCAAUGCCUUCCUCAGUUUGUUUCGGUGCACGGUGAACUUAUUACCGCAUGAGACCUCAGGUGGUAAGCUCGCGACAUCUAUAGAAAUCUCUAUAACUAACGAUAUCUAGUUAUCCUACUUAACAGUUCAGGAUAAUAGCCCUUUAGCAAAAAUUGCGCCACUCUCCAGCAGGCUUUCCGACCAAGUUCAAAAAAACGCUCAUGUAUUCUUGUGUACUCUUAUAUCGGAUUCUUAUAUUACUAUGAGCAAACCCAACAAGCCAAGGAAAAUGCCGUACGAUGGCAGUAGGCAUAACUGAAUGGAAGCUUGCGACAGUUGGCCAACAACUAGUGGGGUGGAACGCCAUGUAGCUUGCCCUAACUAGGGGACGCUAGCUGGCUGAUGGAAACCGGCUCAUAAUGGGGUUGGUGCGCCUUGCUUGCGAAGGGCAUAUCUAUGAAUACGUGCAAGCGUGGAUUAAUCUAACAACUGCCGCCAAAAAUGCUUCGGCUGGCGACAAACAAAUUAGGGAAGGGAUCUUUGGCAACAUCAGACUCGUCCACAUAGCGGCGCUUGCCCGAUGUACCGACGCAAGGCCCAUCUGAGCAUCCCGGGUUACACCUUCGCUGUGUUACACUCGGGUACGGUAAAAUAAUAAGGUUUUUUAUGCGGGUAUGGAGAACAUGACCAUGUUUCAUACGUAUAUUUAUAUAGAAAAUAUAUAGAUUUAUGAGAUGAAUCACGCUUUAUAAAUCGGCAAUGUCAUCUCGGAUGGAGCGCCCUCCUUGGCAGCCGCCCGAGGCUCUCAUGACCUCGUCAAUGCUGCUCAUGUAAGCGGAUGCAUCCUUGCGCAAUUAUGCAUACAAUAAUCCGCAUCCAGAUACAAGUAUAAGUAUACGUGCACGGCUCUAAAGGAGCUCCCUUAGAGCCGUCCCUCUCAAGAGGCUUGGGGUUGCUCCAAAGGCCUCAUACAUCACGGUGGCUUACAUCCAAAACAUAUGUAGUAGUGACUAUUGACGUAGGGGAGUUUUUCUUCCCGUUCCAUAAUAUACACGGAUGGCACGCAUUGCAGUCAUCAUUAAUUAUAAUAAUACAUUGCGUAUUGCUCCAAGCUGAACUACAGAUAGGCUGCUGCUAAGGAUGGUUACCACAAAAUAGCGCCCUGCUGAAGGGGCGCUCCGUGACGUCGCCAACAUAACGACAUAAGUUUCACUAAUCUGCUGUGUGAACUUGUGUGUCAUGGACAUCACGUGUUUCUUACUUCGCACAGAGUCUUAAUGGGGGCCAUGUCGGUGAGCGCAGUCGACAUGUCAGGUACGGCGUGUUGGCGUCGGUUAUUGGUUUGUGUAGUUGUUACAGUGGGCUCGUGGUGAUUGGCCAGACGUGUGUUUAGCGAAGUUGGGAACCGCUAUGCAAUGUAAAUCGUCUUACGUCUCGCUACCUCAUCUUCCGACCAACACAGUAGUGAGUGCCUUACUCGCUGCCUUGAGGGCUUUCUGGGCUGUUACGACAUGAUGGUGACCGCCAGCUUGCCGCCGCUAAACUUACAAUCUGUUCGCUCGCCUUCACGCCUGGAAAGCCCUCCCAAGCUGUCCUUCGCCCCGUUUGUAAACACACACACAUAUAUACACGGCAUCGUCAGGAGUACCCCCGCGACCGCCCAGACUGCCUCCACCGUCGCCUCCGCCAAAUAGGGGUCCCUCCCCUCCCCACCCGCCUUCACCACGACCGUCCCCUGUACCACCAUCUCCUAGCCGGGCAGCUCCCCCCUUCCCACCAGCCCCACCCUCUCCAAGAGUCAGAUCGCCUCCACCCUGGCCCCCACCGCCAAGAUCACCCCGAGUUGUGCAACUCCGCAUGGCGCCAUUUCCCUCUCCUCCUCCUCCCUUUGGGCUGCGGCCCCCAUCUCCACCACCACCACCACCACCGCCACCGCCGCCGCCCCCCAUACCACCACCGGAACCCCCUCCCUUCCCACAGGUUUUCAUACGACUACCAUCACCGCCGUUGCCCUCCCCACCACAACCCCCGGACAUGCCUGAACAAUAUCCUCCUAAGCAGCCACAACCUCCAUCCAAGCCCCCUCGGCCCCUAUUGAACCAUCCAUCACAACCAUCGCCACCUUCACCUCCACCCAUACCCAGAUCUCCUCGCUCUCCACCCAGACCUCGUCGUUCAUCACCCACUCCUCCAACACCGCCGUCCCCGCCGUCUCCGCCGUCUCCCAGAACCCCAGGGCUGUUUCUGUCCCGUCCAACCCGUCCAACCCGUACAUCCACCAGGCCCCCAAAGCCAAGCCCCCGGUCGCGCCGGCCACCACCAGAUGGGCUUCCUCCACCAUCAACUAGUACACCCUCACCCUCGCACUCCAACAGGCGCCCAUGGCCUUCCCCGUCGCCCCUCUGGCCGACUUCCGUCUACAUACAACCGCCUCUCAACCCUCGACGCUCAUCACGCUUUCCACCCCUGCCUCUAAGACAGCCUCCAAGACUUUCUUUCCCUCCACCUAUCUCGCCCACCAAACACUGCCACCUUCUCCGCCCUCUCUGCCACGGCCCAGACCCCCUCAGCUACAGCCGAUGCCAAGCAGGUCUCCACCGAUGUCCGCAAGAGCACCCUGGCCCUC